This 503-nucleotide ribosomal RNA is filed under the name uncultured fungus. RNAcentral's name for it is "SSU rRNA". It matches the Rfam family "Eukaryotic small subunit ribosomal RNA", at positions 569 to 1075 of the family's 1831-position model. The record is from RNAcentral. Lineage: Eukaryota; Fungi.
AGCAGCCGCGGUAAUUCCAGCUCCAAUAGCGUAUAUUAAAGUUGUUGCAGUUAAAAAGCUCGUAGUUGAAUUUCGGGAUCAGUACGUCGGUCGUGCCUUCGGUAUGCACUGGUGUCACUGGUUCCUCCCUUCUGACGAACCGUCAUGCCAUUAAUUUGGUGUGGCGGGAAAUCAGGACUGUUACUUUGAAAAAAUUAGAGUGUUUAAAGCAGGCUCACGCUUGAAUACAUUAGCAUGGAAUAAUGAAAUAGGACGUUGAUCUUAUUUUGUUGGUUUCUAGGAUUGACGUAAUGAUUAAUAGGGGAUAGUUGGGGGCAUUAGUAUUCAAUUGUCAGAGGUGAAAUUCUUGGAUUUAUUGAAGACUAACUACUGCGAAAAGCAUUUGCCAAGGAUGUUUUCAUUAAUCAAGAACGAAAGUUAGGGGAUCGAAGACGAUCAGAUACCGUCGUAGUCUUAACCAUAAACUAUGCCGACUAGGGAUCGGAUGAUGUAAUUUUUAAUGA